UGCUCAGAUUGAACGCUGGCGGCAGGCUAACACAUGCAAGUCGAGCGGAUGAAGGGAGCUUGCUCCUGGAUUCAGCGGCGGACGGGUGAGUAAUGCCUAGGAAUCUGCCUGGUAGUGGGGGAUAACGUCCGGAAACGGGCGCUAAUACCGCAUACGUCCUGAGGGAGAAAGUGGGGGAUCUUCGGACCUCACGCUAUCAGAUGAGCCUAGGUCGGAUUAGCUAGUUGGUGGGGUAAAGGCCUACCAAGGCGACGAUCCGUAACUGGUCUGAGAGGAUGAUCAGUCACACUGGAACUGAGACACGGUCCAGACUCCUACGGGAGGCAGCAGUGGGGAAUAUUGGACAAUGGGCGAAAGCCUGAUCCAGCCAUGCCGCGUGUGUGAAGAAGGUCUUCGGAUUGUAAAGCACUUUAAGUUGGGAGGAAGGGCAGUAAGUUAAUACCUUGCUGUUUUGACGUUACCAACAGAAUAAGCACCGGCUAACUUCGUGCCAGCAGCCGCGGUAAUACGAAGGGUGCAAGCGUUAAUCGGAAUUACUGGGCGUAAAGCGCGCGUAGGUGGUUCAGCAAGUUGGAUGUGAAAUCCCCGGGCUCAACCUGGGAACUGCAUCCAAAACUACUGAGCUAGAGUACGGUAGAGGGUGGUGGAAUUUCCUGUGUAGCGGUGAAAUGCGUAGAUAUAGGAAGGAACACCAGUGGCGAAGGCGACCACCUGGACUGAUACUGACACUGAGGUGCGAAAGCGUGGGGAGCAAACAGGAUUAGAUACCCUGGUAGUCCACGCCGUAAACGAUGUCGACUAGCCGUUGGGAUCCUUGAGAUCUUAGUGGCGCAGCUAACGCGAUAAGUCGACCGCCUG
Molecule: ribosomal RNA, 858 nt
Filed under: Pseudomonas aeruginosa
Lineage: Bacteria; Pseudomonadati; Pseudomonadota; Gammaproteobacteria; Pseudomonadales; Pseudomonadaceae
Description: bacterial SSU rRNA
Rfam family: Bacterial small subunit ribosomal RNA
Source: RNAcentral